RNAcentral lists this ribosomal RNA (446 nucleotides) under uncultured bacterium. RNAcentral describes it as "bacterial SSU rRNA". It matches the Rfam family "Bacterial small subunit ribosomal RNA", at positions 329 to 792 of the family's 1533-position model. The record is from RNAcentral.
UGCCAGACUCCUACGGGAGGCAGCAGUGGGGAAUAUUGCACAAUGGGGGAAACCCUGAUGCAGCGACGCCGCGUGAGUGAAGAAGUAUUUCGGUAUGUAAAGCUCUAUCAGCAGGGAAGAAAAUGACGGUACCUGACCAAGAAGCCCCGGCUAACUACGUGCCAGCAGCCGCGGUAAUACGUAGGGGGCAAGCGUUAUCCGGAUUUACUGGGUGUAAAGGGAGCGUAGACGGCCAUGCAAGUCUGAUGUGAAAACCCGGGGCUCAACCCCGGGACUGCAUUGGAAACUGUGCGGCUGGAGUGUCGGAGAGGCAAGUGGAAUUCCUAGUGUAGCGGUGAAAUGCGUAGAUAUUAGGAGGAACACCAGUGGCGAAGGCGGCUUGCUGGGCUUUUACUGACGCUGAGGCUCGAAAGCGUGGGGGGCAAACAGGAUUAGAUACCCCGGUA